CGGUCACCCGCAGGAGAGUGAUGGCCGCCAGGCCAUCCGCCGAAGGCGCAAACUCCAAUAAUCGCUCAGGCUCAGCACUGCGGACCCCCA
RNAcentral lists this non-coding RNA (90 nucleotides) under Pseudomonas fulva. RNAcentral describes it as "Glycine sequence". It matches the Rfam family "Glycine riboswitch aptamer". From Rfam's summary of the family: This family represents the bacterial glycine riboswitch. RNAcentral also lists the same sequence under 1 other name. Lineage: Bacteria; Pseudomonadati; Pseudomonadota; Gammaproteobacteria; Pseudomonadales; Pseudomonadaceae. The record is from RNAcentral.